Molecule: ribosomal RNA, 240 nt
Filed under: uncultured eukaryote
Lineage: Eukaryota
Description: partial 18S ribosomal RNA
Rfam family: Eukaryotic small subunit ribosomal RNA
Source: RNAcentral
GGAAAUCUCACCCGGCCCGGACACCGCGAGGAUUGACAGACUGAGAGCUCUUUCUCGAUUCGGUGGGUGGUGGUGCAUGGCCGUUCUUGGUUGGUGGAGCGAUCUGUCUGGUUAAUUCCGAUAACGAACGAGACCCCAACCUGCUAACUAGCCCUCGGGUCCUGCUUCUGUUGGGCCCGACGGAAUGAUUCGCUUCUUAGAGGGACUCGCGGCGCCUAGCCGCACGAAGGGGGGCGAUAA